RNAcentral lists this ribosomal RNA (443 nucleotides) under uncultured bacterium. Its description in RNAcentral is "partial 16S ribosomal RNA". It matches the Rfam family "Bacterial small subunit ribosomal RNA", at positions 28 to 507 of the family's 1533-position model. The record is from RNAcentral.
GAUGAACGCUGGCGGCAUGCCUAACACAUGCAAGUUGAUCGGUAAGGCUCUUCGGAGUACACGAGAGGCGGACGGCUGAGUAACGCGUAGGAACACACCCUGCAGUGAGGGAUAAGACACCGAAAGGUGUUCUAAUACCGCAUACGGUCUUCGGAUUAAAGCAUUUAUGCGCUGAAGGAGUGGCCUGCGUCAUAUUAGAUAGUUGGUGAGGUAAUGGCUCACCAAGUCGAUGAUGUGUAGCUGGUCUGGGAGGAUGAUCAGCCAGACUGGAACUGAGACACGGUCCAGACUCCUACGGGAGGCAGCAGUGAGGAAUAUUUCAAAAUGAGCGAAAGCUUGAUGGAGCAAUGACGCGUGCAGGAUGAAGGCCCUCGGGUUGUAAACUGCUUCUAUAAGAGAAGAUUAUGACGGUAACUUAUGAAUAAGGGACGGCUAACUACGUG